CUUCCUCUCUGAGCUCCAUGUGUGGAGCCUGCGCCCAGCCUGGCUUGGCUGCCCUCGUUGAUCUGAACGUGGGAGGAGAGAGCACAGGUGUUUGAUCCUCAACUCUCUCAACUCCAGAACUCCCCACACUAGGAAGAUGCAAGCCAUCAAGUUGCAGAUGCUACCAUGACACCAACCUGACUUGCCUGGGCAGACACACUCAUCAAUGUGUCCUGGAGCCCCACCUCCACAGAUACCUGCCCCACUAGGGAAAGACAGAGGCAGGCUGAGAGUAUGGAUAGACCUGCCAACACCCAUGUCCAGUGGAGAAGCAAUUACAAAAGCCAGA
Molecule: long non-coding RNA, 328 nt
Organism: Erinaceus europaeus (western European hedgehog)
Lineage: Eukaryota; Metazoa; Chordata; Mammalia; Eulipotyphla; Erinaceidae
Exons: 3
Source: RefSeq, a predicted model, not a curated record